GCGAUGAGCUGAAUUGUGUAAGCCGACAGACACUCCUUUAUGGAAAUGCACGAUGUGGCGUGCAGUCAGUCGCCUCAAUACGCAGAAAAGACGCCUUUUGGGCGUCUUU
RNAcentral lists this small RNA (109 nucleotides) under Mesobacillus selenatarsenatis SF-1. Its description in RNAcentral is "Bacillus selenatarsenatis SF-1 BsrF". It matches the Rfam family "BsrF". The record is from Rfam by way of RNAcentral. Lineage: Bacteria; Bacillati; Bacillota; Bacilli; Caryophanales; Bacillaceae.